RNAcentral lists this ribosomal RNA (385 nucleotides) under uncultured bacterium. RNAcentral describes it as "bacterial SSU rRNA". It matches the Rfam family "Bacterial small subunit ribosomal RNA", at positions 30 to 417 of the family's 1533-position model. The record is from RNAcentral.
AUUGAACGCUGGCGGCAUGCCUUACACAUGCAAGUCGAACGGCAGCACGGGAGCAAUCCUGGUGGCGAGUGGCGAACGGGUGAGUAAUAUAUCGGAACGUACCUUUCAGUGGGGGGAUAACGUAGCGAAAGUUACGCUAAUACCGCAUAUUCUGUGAGCAGGAAAGCAGGGGAUCUUAGGACCUUGCGCUGAUUGAGCGGCCGAUAUCAGAUUAGCUAGUUGGUGAGGUAAAGGCUCACCAAGGCGACGAUCUGUAGCGGGUCUGAGAGGAUGAUCCGCCACACUGGAACUGAGACACGGUCCAGACUCCUACGGGAGGCAGCAGUGGGAAUUUGGACAAUGGGGGCAACCUGAUCCAGCCAUGCCGCGUGAGUGAAGAAGGCCU